AGAAAGUGAUACUCAUCACAUUUAUCAACUGGUUGUUAUGCAAAUCGAUGGGAUAGCUUUAAUUUAUUUCCUGCAUUAUUAUUAUUUAUCUAGAAUCAUUUAGCAAAUCAAGCAAUUCUAUGGAGAUGAGGACCCCUGUUACAGUAACUACGUGAAUGCAGGUGACAGCAAAUCAAUCAUCUAUCUCCUAUCAAUCGGAGGCCCUAACCCUUGUUACAUCAAAAGAAUGAUGAUCUCUUUAAAUUGCCUCUAUGUAUGAAAUGUGCUAUAGGGCAGACAUGGUGUGUGUCCCUCACGGUUAUGUCUCAACAGAAGCAAUCUCAGUAGCCAGAGGAGGACCGGCCACCAGGUCAAAAUCAAAUAUAAGAACAUUCUUAGCAAUGCCACCAGAAAGCAGACUGCAUCCAUGGGUACUGGUGGGGGACCGCCGCCGGAGGAGCUCACACCAGCUGAGAUCCUGGCCCUUGGGAUAAAUAAGGGGCCCAAGAUAGUUGGGAUCGAGGGGGGGAGCUCCUCCAACCCUGUGGCCCCAGAGAUCCGGGCCCCAUAUGUUGAAGUGACAGGGGAUCAAAUUAUUCUCCUUGACCCACCACAAGUGCACAUUGAGGAUGCAGCCGGGACCCAAGUCGACCCAGUAG
Long non-coding RNA from Sander lucioperca (pikeperch), 638 nucleotides. RefSeq lists it as uncharacterized. The record is from RefSeq and is a predicted model, not a curated record. Lineage: Eukaryota; Metazoa; Chordata; Actinopteri; Perciformes; Percidae. The transcript is spliced from 3 exons.